This 508-nucleotide ribosomal RNA is filed under the name uncultured Rhizophagus. Its description in RNAcentral is "SSU rRNA". It matches the Rfam family "Eukaryotic small subunit ribosomal RNA", at positions 569 to 1078 of the family's 1831-position model. The record is from RNAcentral. Lineage: Eukaryota; Fungi; Glomeromycota; Glomeromycetes; Glomerales; Glomeraceae.
AGCAGCCGCGGUAAUUCCAGCUCCAAUAGCGUAUAUUAAAGUUGUUGCAGUUAAAAAGCUCGUAGUUGAAUUUCGGGGUCAGUAGGUUGGUCGUGCCACUGGUAUGCACUGGUCUCACUGAUUCCUCCUUCUUGUAGAACCGUAAUGCCAUUAAUUUGGUGUUGCGGGGAAACAGGACUGUUACUUUGAAAAAAUUAGAGUGUUUAAAGCAGGCUAACGCUUGAAUACAUUAGCAUGGAAUAAUGAAAUAGGACGUUCGAUCCUAUUUUGUUGGUUUCUAGGAUUGACGUAAUGAUUAAUAGGGAUAGUUGGGGGCAUUAGUAUUCAAUUGUCAGAGGUGAAAUUCUUGGAUUUAUUGAAGACUAACUACUGCGAAAGCAUUUGCCAAGGAUGUUUUCAUUAAUCAAGAACGAAAGUUAGGGGAUCGAAGACGAUCAGAUACCGUCGUAGUCUUAACCAUAAACUAUGCCGACUAGGGAUCGGAUGAUGUUAAUUUUUUAAUGACUCA